This 1353-nucleotide long non-coding RNA is filed under the name Astyanax mexicanus (Mexican tetra). RNAcentral describes it as "lncRNA (ENSAMXG00005015208.1)". Lineage: Eukaryota; Metazoa; Chordata; Actinopteri; Characiformes; Acestrorhamphidae. The record is from RNAcentral.
GGUCAAGAUGAAAGCUGUGGCAAUCUUCUUGUGUUUUGUGGCCUACACAUUCGCUGCCCCAGCGCCCGACAGCGGCAGCCAGGAGCAGCAGAUAGCUGCCCAUGCUAACACAGCCCUGCAUCUGAUGGAACUCUACAGGAUGUAUGGCCACCUGCAGCAACAGGGUGUCGCAGCUCCUGCUCCAGCUCCAGUUCAGGCACAGGCUCAGUCUGUUCAACCUCAGCAACCCUUCCUGUUUAACUACCCAACCCUGCCCAGAGGAGGAGAUAACUCUGAUGAGGAAGCACAGGUAAGUAAAACUGUGGUUUCCAGUUCUGCUUGUUCCUGGAGACCUGAAGAAUGUUCCUGCAUGGCAAAGGUGGCAAAUUGAGUUCAGGCAGUUGAAAUGAAUCCAGGAUUUUUGCUUUCUGGUCCUGAAUUAUCCACCACUGCUUCUAAACAAAAAGACAAAGGUAGAGAUCCCUAGAAUUGGGAAUGACCACCUCUGAAUUAGAAGAUCUCUUAGAAGAUCCAGUUGAUUCAAAUUGUAAUAAUAGCACUAAUUUCUUUUUCCUUCUAAUCUUUCCCAGCCUAAUUACGCUGCAUUUUACCCUCCCCACGGCUUCCCAGCUGUACCAGCAGCACCGGCGGCACCAGCAGCCCCACUGAACUCCGAUGAAGCCGAGGGAGCAGAAGAGGCCGAGGCCGUAGAAGCAGAACCAGCAGCUGAAGCCGAACCGGCAGCCGAAGCCGAACCUGCAGCUGAAGCGGUCCCAGCAGCCGAAGCGGUCCCAGCAGUCGACCCUGCAGUCGACUUAGCAGUCGACCCAUUAGUCCCUGUUGCCGCUCCCAUCGACCCCGCUGUCAUUGACCCCCAUGUGGCUGUUGAAGUAGGCAUUGAGGUUCCUGCCUCCGCAAACAUCCCUGCCGCCGAUGUCCUCGCAGCUGCCACUGCCAUAGCUGCCGACCCGGCCCUUGUCCCCCAGGGGGCGCCGGUGGCUAUUGAGAUCGACACCACAGUGGUGGGGCCAGAGGUUGGCGCUCCAAUCGUUGCGGACUCUCCUGUCCAACCGUUUUAAUCACCACCGCCCCAUCCCACCCCGCCCACCCCAACAACUAUCUAUAAGAUUAAUCAGCCACAUCACUACUGUAGAGGAUUCACAGUUAGCAGCAUAGCUCGGGAGGUGGGCGGGGUUACAGUUUACAUCCAGUCUAUGUGCGCGAAAGGUUGAUUUGUGUGAACCUCAGUGUGAAAAUUGAAGCUCUGGGAGUGUGAGGAAACCUCAUGUAUGAUUCAGUCUUUUCUCUGUAUUUUUGUCUACGCUUGUUUUUCUUCAAAUUAAACAUGUCUGUCUUCAUCCUGCAAUUCAGUGG